GACGAACGCUGGCGGCGUGCUUAACACAUGCAAGUCGAACGGAAAGGCCCCUUUGGGGGUACUCGAGUGGCGAACGGGUGCGUAACACGUGAGUAACCUGCCCUUGACUUCGGGAUAACUUCAGGAAACUGGGGCUAAUACCGGAUAGGAAUCCUUGCUGCAUGGUGGGGGUUGGAAAGCUUCGGCGGUUUUGGAUGGACUCGCGGCUUAUCAGCUUGUUGGUGGGGUAGUGGCUUACCAAGGCUUUGACGGGUAGCCGGCCUGAGAGGGCGACCCGCCACACUGGGACUGAGAUACGGCCCAGACUCCUAACGGAGGCAGCAGUGGGGAAUAUUGCACAAUGGGCGGAAGCCUGAUGCAGCAACGCCGCGUGCGGGAUGACGGCCUUCGGGUUGUAAACCGCUUUCAGCAGGGGCGAAGCUUGUGGUGACGGUACCUGCAGAAGAAGCACCGGCUAACUACGUG
This 465-nucleotide ribosomal RNA is filed under the name uncultured bacterium. RNAcentral describes it as "partial 16S ribosomal RNA". It matches the Rfam family "Bacterial small subunit ribosomal RNA", at positions 28 to 507 of the family's 1533-position model. The record is from RNAcentral.